Molecule: long non-coding RNA, 2868 nt
Organism: Equus caballus (horse)
Lineage: Eukaryota; Metazoa; Chordata; Mammalia; Perissodactyla; Equidae
Source: Ensembl
CUUGCCAUUUCCAUUGCCAUAGCCAAUGUCGCGUGUUCAUCUCCCUGCAGAGCUGUGAGAUCAUGAGCCCCUCUUAUGGAAGGGAAACAGGGACUCACAGGAGCGAAGUGGCUUCUCCAGGGUCCUACGCUGAUCCGAGUGUCCAGUCCAGGGCUCUAAUUCCAAAGUCUAGCUUCCACAAAGGGCUGUCUUGGGAAGUGGUGAGCUCUCCAUCAGUAGAGGUGUGCAAGGAGAGGUUGAGCACCCCCUCGGCAAGGAGACAGAGAAGAGGACGGGCCUCCAGAGAUCAACCGGAAAGCCAGGCUGCCCCCUGCUGUGCUCCAGUCCUGGCUGCUCAAGCCUUCCUGCUGGGUUCUGAAGGAAGUCUGUGAAAGCCAGGCCACUUUCUGGCAGGUGAACUCUAAGCCUUUGAGCUUUAAAGUUGGCUGUGCCUCACACGGUGCCAGCCUCAGCCAUGCCCAUCCUCUCAUCCCUGCCCCGAUGAGACCCGGGAUGAAGGGUUUGAGGAGACGGGUCUGGACCACCAAGUGAGAGGUCACUGUCUGGUUCCCAGCCACAGACAACCACUCCUGGGGUGUCUCCUGGAAGGGUGAGUUGGGGGUUGGGAAGGAGGAAUUGGCCCAGCAGACAUAUCCUAGGAGGGGCAUGUGGCAGUCCUCUAACUUGCAAGUCCAGAGCCACCGAGCCAGGCCCUUCUCUGCUGUCCUGCACCGUGGCCUUUGUGACCUCUCAGGGAGGGGCCCUGGCAUCACCCAGAGAUGGCUGUAAGGUGCUCUCACUCACUCAGGGCCUCGGGCCUCGCUCAGAUGUGGGGACCUUCCCAGGGACACGGGCAGCGGAUGCUGUGGGGUCGGGCAGGCGGUCAGCUCCCCGCAUGCGCCUGCACCCUGAAGCAGAACAGGGCCCCUGGCCUCGGAGAGCCCCCUGGUCUCCAUGUCCCUGAAGCGCGGCGGGGGGAGCGUUCCACAGGCGCAGCCUUUCCGGAAAGGAGCGCCUCCGACCGUGCGGCAGGUCUGCAGCCCCUGGCGCAGCCAGCGUUCGCCUUCUGGAAGCGCCGGAGGCUGGAAGAGCGAGGGCUCUGCUCGCCAAGCUGCUCUCCGCAGCGUUGCUGUCUGCUGUCGAGGAAGGACGUCAGCCUGACGGUCCCCAGCCUUUUCCUGACACUUGAGCAUCCUCACGACGUGGCAGCUGUCUCCAGAGAGAGGGGCCCAAGGCAGAGAGCAAGGAUGAAGCUGGAGCCCCUCUUAUGACCUAGUCUCAGAAGUUGCGCUCCAUCACAUCCCCUUCUUUCUACUUCUUCGAAGGGAAUCAAGCUGCUGACAGUGGUUGACUUGAAACUGGCUGUCAAAACGGAGAGGAGUUCACCUGCAGGUCCGAGGCCCCAAGAUGCGUGUUCUAACUACUCCCAUCUGACAGAUGAGAAACCCAGGACUUAGAGAGGGAAAGUGGCUCAUCCAAGCCCACCUUCAGAGUCGAUGGAGGAACUGAGAUGUAAGCCUGGGUCUGUCUGAGUCCAGGAAUCAUGAGAGGAAAGGGAAUUCGGCGUUGAUUCCUCGCCUGGUUUCAGCACUCCCUGCUUCAUCCGCUGUCCACUGCAAUUCAUUCUCUGCAAAGCAACUGGAAGUCAGAUCUGUGCUGCUGCUACAGCCCGCCCACCCUGCCCAGGGCCUCGGGGUGCCCCUUACACUAAAUACUCGUGCUGUGUGCAGCCUGACACUGCGAGCCCUCCGUGGCAUCACUUCCCUCCCCAUUCAUGCUUCCUCCUCCCUCCUUUCUGUGUCUCCUUCCUUUUCUCUAAGCUUCAUGCUCUCCAAGGCCUCAGAGCAGGUGACUUCCCCACCUUGACACGGGGAGAUCCUCGCCCACCGCCCGCAGGUUUCAGCUCAGAUGCCUCCCCAGCAGCCUUCCCCGAGGCUGAGUGUGGAGUCUGCUUGCUCCUAGGUGGCCCUGCACACCCCUUUGUGCCCAUUCAAGUGACUCUCCUCUAACCAGGCAAUGAGAGUCCACAUGUCACUCGCUCUUCAUCUACUCCAACACCUACCCAGACCAAGAAAUACGUUCUGAAGGGAUGAGCGUCUGAAAAGUGGAUGUCUGAACCCGUGAAGCAAGCGUCCUGGGGUGUUUGGUCUUAACAUUCAUUGAGCAUGAAUGUUUAAUCUGCCUCUGCUCUGGCCAGACAUUGUGCUGGGUCUAGUGCGCAUCCCCGGGGAAGCACUCACACCUCACUGUAGCCUAUUUUGCAGGUGAGGAACCUGAGGCUCAGAGACAGGAAGCAACUUGCCCAAGGCAGCACAGCGUGUAAUUAAAAGUGCCAGGAUCCAAGCCCAAGUCUAUCUAUCUGGUCCCACAGCUCUGCUGUGAAGUUCCUGGUCUCUCUGAAGAGCAUUUAAAAUGAAACAGUGCAGAAAUAAGAGCCCUGACAUUUUCACGGAUCCACAGUGUUUGCAGACACCUUCAGUUCGGAGACAACACCUGUCAGAGAAUGAAAAGGCCAAGUUGAGGCUGGGAGUGGAGGAGCGGAGAAUAGCGGGGUAGGGGAGUUACAGGGAAAGCACAGGGAGAGAGCCGCACUGGGUGGUCCCUCCCCAGGACACCAGGAGCACCCUCCUCCCCUCCACAGCACUCAGCAGGGUCCGCUCAGUGACGAGUCCGCAGACCUGGUGCACUGCCUUGGCCUCUCCGCCCUCAGCGGCCCAGCCAUCUGGACCCUGUCCCCAGGAGCCAGGCAGGCCUCCCGGCUGAGAAGGGGCACAGCCAUGCCCGGCUGCAGCAGCUCUUCUCGGAAAGUGGGGCAGCAGGUGCCUGCAGCCUGGGGGAGGCAUGAGGGAGCUUUGGGAUGGCCAGAGUGACAUGUGCAGGAUGGAGGGG